This is a long non-coding RNA of Lemur catta (Ring-tailed lemur), 2429 nucleotides long. RefSeq lists it as uncharacterized. The transcript is spliced from 2 exons. Lineage: Eukaryota; Metazoa; Chordata; Mammalia; Primates; Lemuridae. The record is from RefSeq and is a predicted model, not a curated record.
CAAUUAUAUACAACAUGGAUUUCAUUACUCUUCAUUUUUGUUAUAUGUCACUUCAAGGCUUACCAGAUGCACUGGCUGACUGCUGGUGAGUGCUGUUCUCUCCCUGCCUUUGUCUUUGAUCAUAUGCUGCUUUUAGCUCCUUUUGAAGCUCAGCAGGAAGGGCAGCAAACACCUCAGGGUCCACCUAGUGGAAAAGGGAAGGUCAAAGUCAAACUUGAGUUAAUUGUAGAUGGUGGUUUGUACUUUUCACAAAAUAGAUUUUGUUUUCAAGUCAUACUUUUCUGAUCUGUACGCAUUCUUAACAGGUCCUCAACAUUAAAGCUCAUUAAGCUUCAAAAUGUUUAUGGUGAGAAUAAUGAAUUAAAUUUAGAGUACUAACUGACUUUAAACAAAACCACCACUGUAGCAGAACAACCAGGGUAGGGCAAGAUGCUUUAGGAAAUGGGAAGCAAAACAAGAAAACAGAAACUCGGGUUGUGCUGUUCAUUUCCACUAUUUUAUAUUCACGUGUGGCCCAGUGGUCUGUUCUGGCCAAUGAAGAAGGAGCAGAAUGUGAUAUUGGCUCACUUCUGGGGAGCAGCUUUAAGGACCCCAUGCCAUGCCCUCCCUCUCCUUUCCCCUCUGUUGCCAAACUCAGUUGCUUCAGGAGCAGGUUGCUUUGUCAGUCUGUGUCCCACACAUGCAGAAGGUGGAGCAGAGCCAACCGACCCCUCCCUCCCCAAUGGCCAUGGUGUAAGUGACUGAGAGGGUGCAGAGGAGAAAGGGAAGUGAGACAGGAUCUGAACUGGAGUAGGAUGGGUGAGAAUACUGAAACUGAGAAGGUCCCCAAAUUUAACUUACCUGUGAGAAUGCUGGAAGGGCUAUUACGUUUAUUCCUGUAUCACUGUUAGAUUCUUGAGGUUCUGGUAUUUGCAGCAAAACUGUUCCAACUGGUUGUGGCAAAAUUCCUGUAUUAGAGCCAUUUACUGGUUCUUUCUUUCUAUCACCAUGUGACUCUCCUUGCUGAAUGGCACAGACUUGUUCUACUUGUUCCCGCAGAUCGGGUGGAAGUGCUUCUAAAACAGACUGAUCCAGCUAUAAAAUACCAAACAUAAACGACUUUGAAGUUAGAGCAUGCUCAGAGACGAGGUGUUUGGGGAGUUAAUAAACCACUUUCAUUUCAAUUUGAACAUUUUGGAUAAUGAACAUAAGGUACACAUUACUAGUCCAGGAAAGCCACACAUUACUAGUCCAGGAAAGCCACACCCCCACCCCAAUCUGCACAUUUUUGGAAUGUCGUGGCCUUUCGCCAUUGAAGCCUGAAGUGAUGUAUGGACUCUGGAGAUGACAUGGGUACACUACCAGCCAGUACCACAUACUAGGUAAGUCCAAAUAUACUCACAGAAUGUUCCUGCAAUAGGAGCUGACAGACAGGUAGAAAGAGAACCUUGGUCAAACUCAAAUUUAGACUCUAACCCUGAGCAGGAGACAAUGCCUAAGACACACGUUAAAAUUCUGAGACAGUCUUGGUCAGAAGUCCACCUUAAAGCUAGCUGUGAGACUGCCCCAAAAUACAAAUAAUUUUCCUACUCUGAGAGCAGUAAGCUGGAAGAAAGAGUUUCUAGAAUCUAACUUUUCUCCAAACUGCAGACCAGAAUCCCUUGUUCCUCUGGCUAGGGCCUCCCCUCUGCUGUCUAUGCAUAUCCAGCCCUUUGGAAACAUGCAGUCCCAUAAACUAGGUAGUCCGACCUUAUCUUUCCAGGAGCAGCUAUUUAAUGCAAGCAUAACAACAGGGUGAUCUGUCACCAGCAAUUGGGAUCCUUUUCCCUAUGGCCAGUAUUUACAUCUCUUUUAACCACCUUCCACGGGGACAAAUAAAUUUUCCCAACAAAGCUUAAAGUACUACCUAUUUCCAAGGAGCAAAGUCCACACAAAUGGAAUUAAAAGCUUAUGAAAAUCAUACUCACUUUACAGAGAACAUUUGCAAAUGCUGCAAAACCCUUCACAACUGAUGAGCAAAGAUAGAGCAAGUCCACAUGAUCACCACUGUCACAGACAGUGGCAGUUCAUAGGAGGACUGCCUUUCGGCCAUGCUUUAUAAUUUAUAGGAGUUACAAAUAUUUGCAAGAACACUCUUUCAUCUAACCCAACCAUUGCUCAUUUAGAAUUCAACAUCAUGAUCCGCCCUAACAAAUAGUCCUUUCUCUCUUUCUUGGUUAUACUGAUGAAAUAUAACCAAAUUACAAAAAUGUCAUUUUCAUUUGGAAACCACUUUUGUACUUACAUUUAGGACUAUAAAAAUAUACCUGGGAAGGCGACGGGACCUCUAUGCUCAGGUUAAGUCUCGACUGAACAUUAACAGGAGAAUGCAGACCAUUCCAUUUCCUUGAAGACUCAGCUUUGCUGGUAUCAGGACUGAUAGCAGCUGGCAGAUGUGUAGGAAAAGAUGG